Molecule: ribosomal RNA, 253 nt
Filed under: uncultured bacterium
Lineage: Bacteria
Description: partial 16S ribosomal RNA
Rfam family: Bacterial small subunit ribosomal RNA
Source: RNAcentral
UACGAAGGAUGCAAGCGUUAUCCGGAUUCAUUGGGUUUAAAGGGAGCGUAGGUGGCCUUAUAAGUCAGUGGUGAAAUCUCUCGGCUUAACCGAGAAAUUGCCAUUGAUACUGUAGGGCUUGAGUAUAGUUGCCGUUGGCGGAAUAUGACAUGUAGUGGUGAAAUACAUAGAUAUGUCAUAGAACACCGAUUGCGAAGGCAGCUAACGAAACUGUAACUGACGCUGAGGCUCGAAAGUGCGGGGAUCAAACAGG